RNAcentral lists this ribosomal RNA (451 nucleotides) under uncultured bacterium. Its description in RNAcentral is "bacterial SSU rRNA". It matches the Rfam family "Bacterial small subunit ribosomal RNA", at positions 28 to 460 of the family's 1533-position model. The record is from RNAcentral.
GACGAACGCUGGUGGCGUGCUUAACACAUGCAAGUCGAACGAAAGAGUUAAGACGGAAAUCUUCGGAUUGAAGACUUAACAAUUUAGUGGCGAACGGGUGAGUAACACGUGAGAAACCUGCCUAUCACAAGGGGAUAGCCUCCGGAAACGGUGAUUAAUACCCUAUGAGAUCACAUAAUCGCAUGAUUGAGUGGUUAAAGAUUUAUCGGUGAUAGAUGGUCUUGCGGCUGAUUAGCUAGUUGGUGAGAUAAAAGCUCACCAAGGCAACGAUCAGUAUCCGGCUUGAGAGGGUGAACGGACACACUGGAACUGAGACACGGUCCAGACUCCUACGGGAGGCAGCAGUGGGGAAUUUUGCACAAUGGGGGGAACCCUGAUGCAGCGACGUCGCGUGAACGAAGAAGGCCUUCGGGUUGUAAAGUUCUGUCCUAAAUGAAGAUAAUGACAGUAG